CAUAUACUCCCUCCGUACAACAAAAGAUGUCUCAAGUUUGACUAAAUUUAAAUGCAUCUAUACACAAAGUAAUGUCUGCAUACAUCCAAAUUUUGAUAAACUUGAGACAUCUUUUGUUGGACGGACAGAGUAUGAC
This is a non-coding RNA of Brachypodium distachyon (stiff brome), 136 nucleotides long. Lineage: Eukaryota; Viridiplantae; Streptophyta; Magnoliopsida; Poales; Poaceae. The record is from Rfam.